GCGGGCCUGGCCGAUCGGCUUAGGCACCAGCCUUCCAAGCUGAGUAGAGGGGUUCAAUUCCCCUGGCCCGCUCCA
This 75-nucleotide transfer RNA is filed under the name Pelomonas sp. Root1237. Its description in RNAcentral is "tRNA-Gly". It matches the Rfam family "tRNA". From Rfam's summary of the family: Transfer RNA (tRNA) molecules are approximately 80 nucleotides in length. Their secondary structure includes four short double-helical elements and three loops (D, anti-codon, and T loops). Lineage: Bacteria; Pseudomonadati; Pseudomonadota; Betaproteobacteria; Burkholderiales; Sphaerotilaceae. The record is from RNAcentral.